GGAGAGAUGGCAGAGUGGUCGAUUGCACUGGUCUUGAAAACCAGCGACGGGCAACCGUCCGUGGGUUCGAAUCCCACUCUCUCCGCCA
RNAcentral lists this transfer RNA (88 nucleotides) under Burkholderiales bacterium. RNAcentral's name for it is "tRNA-Ser". It matches the Rfam family "tRNA". Rfam says of the family: Transfer RNA (tRNA) molecules are approximately 80 nucleotides in length. Their secondary structure includes four short double-helical elements and three loops (D, anti-codon, and T loops). Lineage: Bacteria; Pseudomonadati; Pseudomonadota; Betaproteobacteria; Burkholderiales. The record is from RNAcentral.